UUACCGGCGUCGAGAGGCGACGGGAUGGACUACCAGACGUUAGCAGAGGCCAUAGUAAGCGUGGAGGAAGUGCCGUUCCUGCAACUCGAGGGC
RNAcentral lists this non-coding RNA (93 nucleotides) under Ectothiorhodospira mobilis. Lineage: Bacteria; Pseudomonadati; Pseudomonadota; Gammaproteobacteria; Chromatiales; Ectothiorhodospiraceae. The record is from RNAcentral.